AUUUUUACUGAGCUGGAACCUUGUUUGUGGUUUCCCUCCAGCCAAGGACCUCAUCCAGCUCCUUCCAAAGGAGGCUGUUACCCUUGAGCUACCCUAAACCAGCGGAACUCAGAGGUUCCUGCUCACCUGGGCUGCAGCCAGGACCUUCAACGUGGAGAGAUUUUUUCACAGUGAUGAUCUUAAAUAGGGAUCAGCUGUGCCAGAAGAGGGAUUUUUUUUUUAACCCAUGCUGGAGCUCAGCCUGCAGCAGCUCUGUCCCUGCUGCCUCUCAUGGAUGCACUGACUGGGUGUCCUGGAUGUGCAGAACCUUUCCACCUCCUGGAGCUCUCCAACCUUUGCUCUGUACCUGUGCAGCUUUACCACAAGCAGCUGACAGUCUCAACAGGAGGAUGUGAUUUUGCCCAAUAUUUGAAUUUGCUCCAACAUCCCUACCACCGAAGUGCUCCUGAUCCAGAGGUGCUGCUGCAUCCAGAGGGACACGGCUGGCUCAUGGACCAGAGUGUGGCUGCCAUGGCAACAGCCUGAAAUUAGGAAUCAAUUAGAGCUGAAAAAAGUGCUAUCACUUCAGCAGACUAAAUGCUUUCCCCUAUCUCCUCAGUCUCUGUAGCUUCUCCAUUUUGACUCGCAGGUAAUUGAAGUUUUAAUUUGUUGCCGUGUAUCAGGUUAAUGAAAGGAGCUGGAAAUGGAGCUGAAUUCCCUGGUGCCCCCAGAGUGAGUGUGAGAGGAGCAGGGCCCUCCCCGUGUGCCUGAAUCCCUGCAAAACACAGCCUCGAGGGCUGACUUUGGGACUGAACCUGGGAAAAUGCUCAUUAUCAGGCAGGGAAGGGGCAUCCAGGGCCUGCUAAUGGCUCAGUCACUCUGCAGAACAAUUUGGGAUUAAAAAAAAACCAAAAAAGGAGUUUUCUAUUUCUGCUGAUUUCAGGAAAGGGAGAGUGUGCUGAGCAGUGACAAUAAUUGGCUGUAAGCAGGCAGUGUUUGCUUUAUGAACUGUCUGGGAGUGGGAUGUGGAACACAGCUCUGGAGCAGUCCCUGCUCAUCCUUUCCAGGUUAAUAAACCCUCUGGCACAGGCUCCUGCUUCAAAGAGCAGCUUGAAACUGCUCCAGGAGCUUGGAUGGCCCUGCAGGUGCUCAGGGCACAUCCAGGUGGGAUUGUGGCACUCAGAUCUCAGCCAAAACUUGCUCCUUGCUGGCCUCUUUAUUUGGCAUUCAGAUCGGGAUUGUCACCUGCCCAGGGAGAUCGAGUUCCGCUGAAAAUCAAUGGGAUUUUCACACUUCUAAUGACUGAAGCACUCAGAAAUGCCAUCUUUAGGGCUCUAAAUGAGUCUCUCAUUUCCAGGAGUACUCAGUGGCUGUGGUUGGGUUUUGCAGCUCCUCAAUUCCACCUGGGCCUGUCUGACUCUGCUCCAUAAAGGUGAGGAGGGUUCUGGGAGCUGUGCUCAGGGCACACCUUGGGGGGUUAAAUCACAUUUUUAAAACACUUGAUACCAACCUACAGCAUAGAGGUGAAGCUCUGUGUUAUUCCCUCAUCCCUCUUUGUCAAGGCCUCAAU
Molecule: long non-coding RNA, 1549 nt
Organism: Zonotrichia leucophrys gambelii
Lineage: Eukaryota; Metazoa; Chordata; Aves; Passeriformes; Passerellidae
Exons: 3
Source: RefSeq, a predicted model, not a curated record